Adelges cooleyi (spruce gall adelgid) is the source of this 1727-nucleotide long non-coding RNA. RefSeq lists it as uncharacterized. NCBI's taxonomy places the organism in Eukaryota, Metazoa, Arthropoda, Insecta, Hemiptera, Adelgidae. The record is from RefSeq and is a predicted model, not a curated record. The transcript is spliced from 7 exons.
UUUUAACUGUUGUCUGUUAAAUGUUUCUUAAUUAACGAAAAACUGCUCAUUAUUCGUCGAACAUGACUUAUUUAUCAUUUUUUACCUUAUGUUCGUUUAAAUAUUACACUGUUAUUUGUGAAUUUAUUUUAUUUUUGAAAAUUGCCAUGUAUUUAAUCGUAUUACGGUGUACGGAUCUACAUAUUAUAUCGUAUUUACUUGAUUGGCUGUGCAGACAAACUGUUAAUUUAUGUUAUAAGCCAGCUUGAAGAAAUUUACAGAAAAAAUCUAAACAUGAUCAACAAACUGCGAUAUACAAAAUUGUUUUUUGCUGAAGGCAAAUGCUCUCCUUGAUUUAUUUUUCCUGGCUAUUACCUCGGAACAACUUUUGUUGGUCUCUGCACAAAAUGAUAUCUAAAAAAGAUUUGUUCCAGAUGACAAUAGUUGGCAGUAUAAAUGCAAACUUCUGUAGAUGUAUGAAUUAUGUGACGGAAAGAGGAAAUAUUAAGAGGACACCGAACAAGUAUUUUUGUAUUAAAAUUAAUGUGUCCGAUUUCAAAUGCUGUGAAGCCUUUUAUGAAAAUAGACCCAUAAGCAAAUGAAUAUUACUGUAUUACGAUAUUUUUGGUAAGCUGUAAUUCUCGCUUUUUGGUACUAUUUUCAAAAUCAGAUCCCAUCAAGACAUCAUUGAAUUCUUUAUGUUUUAAAUGAAAUGACAGUGAUAGUCUGACAAUAUAAAUAACAACUAAUAAAGAAUCCUCAUUAUUAUAUCACAAGUAUACACAACAGUUGAAGCUCUAAAUUUAGAUUUUGCGAAAAAAGUUUGGCUUUUAGUCUAUUGGAAACCAUAGAACGAGCAACAUCAGAUCAAAGGCCUGAUGAUGAAAUUUGCAAAUACACUGCAACAUUGGCGGACCAGUCAAUCUAUCCAUGUGGCAAGAUGUGUAAACAGUGUAAAUGCAAUACCACAAACAAUUAAGGCAUGGAAGAUCGGAUCUAAAGAAAACAUUUGCACUGAUUACUGGUUACUGCUGUGGUUGUGAUACAUUAAGACAGAUACACUUUUUGUACAACAUGAGAGUACAAGAAAUAGCGUCAUAGCGUACAAAAUGAACAGCCUACUAUGAGAGUAUCUUUAUAAUUAAAUUUGAUGAAAUGUGUCAUCUUCGCCUUUAGGUAAUCUUUGGAAAUAUUUCAUGGAUACGGGACUUGCAUUGUAUUGUUUAAAGUAAAAGCAAAAUAAAAAAAUGUUUUGAAAAAAAUGUCAUUUAUAGAUGUCAAUUUGAUAGCUUACCUGCUGAUACAAUAUAAAAAAGGCCAUAAAUAGAAAAAAUUACAGUUUGUGGCUGUGACUGUCGGCUGGAAUCAAUCCAAGAAAAUAGGUUACCGCUUAAUAUACAUAACAAAUAUUACACGUAAGUAAUAUAGUAAUAAUAAAUAAACAAAAUUCACUUGUAGACAAAUGUUAGGGUAAUUCCUAUUACUAGAGGUACUCGAUAACGAACAUUUUUAAAAUGGUAAAUGAGAAACUUAUUUUUUUUUUGUCUUUGUUCUCAGACCACUUUUUAUUUAAUAGGUAGUGUUUUUAGAGACAGGUCUAAGAUCGAUAGCAUUAUUUACAUUUAUACAAAUUAUAUAAUUUUAGGCGUUCAAGAACAUGUCGACUAUUAAUUGUCAGAGACAGGUAAAGAGUGGUUACUACCCCCCAUUCUCUUUGGCCCUGCCUAGAUCCUUUUAAAUUAUUAUAA